Corythoichthys intestinalis (scribbled pipefish) is the source of this 1301-nucleotide long non-coding RNA. RefSeq lists it as uncharacterized. The transcript is spliced from 3 exons. The record is from RefSeq and is a predicted model, not a curated record. Lineage: Eukaryota; Metazoa; Chordata; Actinopteri; Syngnathiformes; Syngnathidae.
AAGGAAAGAUUUUGGAUAAUAUUUGUGGCUACAGAAUAUUAUUGUUAUUUCAUUACAACAGGAAUGUGCAUAUUUAAAUUGAUAAGUGUUAAUAAGUGCCAGUAAGUUUUGAUUAUCUACUGUGACUGUAAUUGAGCAGACAAAUAGGUUAAAUAAUUUGAAAAGUGAUUGCUAAUGUUAUGUUUUGUUGCACACCGUGAAAAUGAAUACCUCAAAAGAGCAAGAUGUCAUGUACCCAUUGUGCAGCACUUUGUUUACAUUUGCAGCACUCAUGACACUUGCUUUACAGCAGCUUAAUUGAUACACGGCAGUACUAUUUGGACGGAGUUGGAGCUCGCAUCCACCGUGCAUGCUGUUUUGUGCCUGAGUUUUGUUGAGCCGAAAAUAAAGGCAGCGUUACAAAGUCAUCUGACCGCUCGUCAUUUUAGAUACUGAAUGCAUUACUGACUUUUUUUCUGCAUGUUUAAAUUAUCAUCUAACCACUGUGCCGUCAUGAUAAGCUUACAUACUGGACAUCACUUGUCCAAAUGUCAGUGGUGAAAAUGAUGUGAUUGGGAUGCUUUUUAUGAAGAAUGGUAGUUGUAUUAAAGGGGAACUGAAGAGCUUUUCAGAUUUCGCUCUUAAGUGUUUUACUCAGUUGAAUUGUAUUAAAUGCGUCAUUCGCUCUCUCAAAAAGUCACAUAAAAAAAAAAAUAAUAAUAAUUGACCGCGUAGUUUUUGAGUUAUGGCCAUAGCAACACCAUAGCAACGAGGGACGCGCCGUCCUGCCGACCCCUACCUCGUGACGUAACUUCCAGGAAGCCUCGCCACCACUCUGAACACGGAAAUAUAGCACCACGCUAUCCUCGCCAUAUAUUGCAAACAUUUUCUGGGUUUUACUCGCGGGAUUCGUCAUGCCAUCUCGAUGUGUAGCGAUAUGAAUUACUCACAGGAAGACUCGAGACUCUAGGAGUGGUCCAAAAAAAAAACUUCUGCAAAGCCACGACAGCUUUGAAAACCUACAACAAUGCAACCUUGGUUUUCCAAAGACGAAGCCAAACAUAAAAAAUUAAGUGGCGGAAACCCUCAACACGAUGAAAAAAGCGUUGCAAGUCAGUUGCCACCCAGUUUCCCAAAAUCAAGAGAGAGUGGGUCGAGUCAUAUGAUGACCGAAGUGAUGCGGUGUCCAGCGAUGACGACUGAAGAGAUCCUAUGAGGCCUGCCAGAUGCUGAAUUUCUUCCAUCUGCGACAUCAGAUGACGAUGAUUUAGGAGAAAUAAAUGUAGCAAAUUUUGAUGAUAUGAAAUCAUAAACUAGUCAUA